AGAGUUUGAUCCUGGCUCAGAACGAACGCUGGCGGCGCGUUUUAAGCAUGCAAGUCGAGCGGCAAGGGUACUUCGGUACUCCUAGAGCGGCGGACGGGUGAGUAACACGUGGAUAACCUGCCCCCGGGUGCGGGAUAGCCCAGGGAAACCUGGAUUAAUACCUCGUAAGACCACGCUCUGUAGGGAGAGUGGGAAAAGGCGCUUCGGCGUCGCCUGGGGAUGGGUCCGCGUCCCAUUAGCUAGAUGGUAGGGUAAAGGCUUACCAAGGCGAUGAUGGGUAUCCGGCCUGAGAGGGUGAUCGGACACAUUGGGACUGAGAUACGGCCCAGACUCCUACGGGAGGCAGCAGCUAAGAAUAUUCCACAAUGGACGAAAGUCUGAUGGAGCGACGCCGCGUGGAUGAUGAAGGCCGAAAGGUUGUAAAAUCCUUUUACACUGGAGGAAUAAGCAGAGUAGGGAAUGACUCUGUGAUGACUGUACAGUUUGAAUAAGCAACGGCUAAUUACGUGCCAGCAGCCGCGGUAACACGUAAGUUGCGAGCGUUGUUCGGAAUUAUUGGGCGUAAAGGGCAUGUAGGCGGAUUUGCAAGCUUGAUGUGAAAUCCCGCAGCUUAACUGCGGAACUGCAUUGAGAACUGCAAGACUAGAGUUACUGAGGGGAAACUAGAAUUCCAAGUGUAGGGGUGAAAUCUGUAGAUAUAAGGAAGAAUACCAAUGGCGGAGGCAAGUUUCUGGCAGAUAACUGACGCUGAGGUGCGAAGGUGCGGGGAGCAAAGCAGGAUUAGAUACCCUGAUAGUCCGCACAGUAAACGAUGUACACUAGGCGUUUGGUCAUGAGGUGGAGUGCCAUAGCUAACGCAUCAAGUGUACCGCCUGGGAAGUAUGCCCGCAAGGGAGUAACUCACAGGAAUAGACGGGGGCCCGCACAAGCGGUGGAGCAUGCGGCUUAAUUCGAUGGUACGCGAGGAACCUUACUUGGGUGUGACAUAUACUGGAAUGUUAUAGAGAUAUAGCAGCGUAGCAAUACGCCGGUAUACAGGUGCUGCACGGCUGUCGUCAGCUCGUGCCGUGAGGUGUUGGGUUAAGUCCCGCAACGAGCGCAACCCCUACUGUCAGUUGCUAACAGAUAAUGCUGAGGACUCUGGUGGAACUGCCGGUGACAAACCGGAGGAAGGUGGGGACGACGUCAAGUCAUCAUGGCCCUUAUGUCCAGGGCUACACACGCUGCUACAAUGGUAGAAACAAAGCGAUGGUACACUGCAAAGUCACGCAAAACGCAAAAAAGCUAUCGUAGUUCGGAUUGGAGUUUGAAACUCGACUCCAUGAGGUUGGAAUCGCUAGUAAUCGCGCAUCAGCACGGCGCG
RNAcentral lists this ribosomal RNA (1363 nucleotides) under uncultured bacterium. Its description in RNAcentral is "bacterial SSU rRNA". It matches the Rfam family "Bacterial small subunit ribosomal RNA", at positions 8 to 1361 of the family's 1533-position model. The record is from RNAcentral.